Molecule: long non-coding RNA, 2064 nt
Organism: Felis catus (domestic cat)
Lineage: Eukaryota; Metazoa; Chordata; Mammalia; Carnivora; Felidae
Exons: 2
Source: RefSeq, a predicted model, not a curated record
UGGUUGUGUGCCUUCUUCCUUUACCUUUUACAGGACUUUCUUCACUUUGGCACCUUAGUCUUCUGUCAAGUUGAAUCGUCGUCUGGACCAACUCAACUUUUAUAUGAUGAGAGGAAAUCUCACAAAGCAAAUUACACAUUGCAUAGCUCAGAAAGCAGAAGCAUGAGAUCAAAGAUUCAAUAGGAAAAUGAAGACAGAAGGGCACGCUGCAUAGAAGACCGGGUGUGAGUAGGUUUGUGGCAGGUGAGGGUAAGAAGCCGGGUCUCAGGCCAACUGCACUAGCGAAAGAGACCCAGGUUUAGGACAUGAAGCAAGGAUGAAAGCCAGUGCAGUUCUCCGCUUGUCCUUUGCCACAGCCUGAAUGCCAAAAGGCCACAGGAGAGCGGAACAGAACAGCCAGCGUAUCAGCUGCGGAGCUCACAGCCGGAUAUCCAAACCUCACUCUACUGAUUACCGACUGGCUCUACGGUUGGGAGAAGGUUACUCGGCGCUCAAGCCCCUUUAUUCUUAUCUGUGUAAACGAGAUAAUAACAGAACUGAACUUUUUAGUAAAAUGUGAAGAAUAAAUCAUCUAACCGAUUGAAGUGGACACAUGGUAAAUAGCAUGUAAAUUCUCAGUACGUGUUAGAGCAGUGUUAUUAUUUUUUAAUCACAUAAUCUAGUAAGGUGGCAUCAAAGUGAGAAGAAGGGAUAGUAAGUCUAUUCUAUGCAGGUGGAGAAAAAUAACCCCUCCUGGAUUCAUUAGCGCUGCCUUAACAAAGUGCAACAAACUGGGUGGCUUAAGCAACAGGAACUCAUAUUGUCUCAUAAUUCUGGAGACCGGAAGUCUCAGCUCAACGUGUCAGCAGGGUUGGUUCCCUCCGAGAACUAUGGCAGAAUCUCUCCAUGCCUCUUCCAAGCUCCUGGUGGUUUGCUGGCAACCUUUGUGGUUUUCUUGUAGUCCCUUCACCCUGAUCGUGCUUCUGUGCUCGCAUGCAUUCUCCCCGUGUGCAGGCCUGUGUUCAAAUUUCCCCUUUUUGUAAAGACACCAGUAAUGCUAGAUGAGGGGCCCACCUUACUCCACUAUGGCCUCAUCCUAACUAAUUACACCUGCAAAGACUCUCUUUCCAAGCAAAGUCACGUUCUGAGCUACCGAAGGAUGGAACUUCAAUGUACGAACAUUGGGGAAAUACAAUUCAACCCAUAACACCUCCCUCUGGAACACUCCUCAUAGGUGGUCGCACCUGCUCAUAUAGUCCUUAUUAUAUUCUAUUUGCACAGCUUCUUUUCAUUGUCUAAUGGCCAAGGUUCCCUUCUCAUGGGAUCACAGGUUAGACCAUUACAUUAAGAAUAUAUGAAUAUGGAAUGAAACUGUUUGCUUAAACAUGUAAAUGGAAUAAUGAAAGGUAUUGAGACUCCAGGCCAAGUGUAGGUGAUAGAGAGGAUCUACAUUACCCAUAAUCAUUUGCUCUUAACCUCUUUAAAAGUUUAUUGAAAGCUAAGGACUUCUUUCCUCAGAAUACAAGUGCACAUGAAAACAUGCAUCGUUUUAUAUACAAUCUCUGAAAAUUACUGGAUCACCUCUUAAAGUCUUGUUUAACCCGCUAGGGGUUUGCUAAACCCAGAUUAAGACUCUUUGGACUAUAUCUUGGUCUCUCAAUCUUGCCACAGUUGAAAUUUUGUACCAGAUAAAUCUUUGUUGUGAAAGGCUGUCCUGUGCAUGGUAGGAUGUUUAACAGCAUCCCCGGCCUCUAGCCACUAAAUGCUAGUAGCAUCCCUCUAGUUGUGACAAUCAAUAAUAUCUCCAGACAUUACCAGGUAUCCCCUAGGGGGCAAAAUCACUCCAUUUGAGAACCAUUCGUCUACUUAGAGGGUUGGUCCUUGCCCUCAAAUCAGUUUACACAAACAUUUGGUAAAAGCUGCUCUACAUUGCCAAGAACAGUGUUAAAGAAAUAAGUAAAUAAGAGACCCAGUUACCACUAGACUGAGGGUGUCCAGAAAAUAUGCACUUGUGUGUUUGUUUGUCCAUUGUACUAUCUUCAGAGAAUAAAGGGUGCGUGGCACUCUGUGAGUGUCCAGGAAGUA